UAAGGUCACGGCGAGACGAGCCGUUUAUCAUUACGAUAGGUGUCAAGUGGAAGUGCAGCGAUGUAUGCAGCUGAGGCAUCCUAACAGACCGAGAGAUUUGAA
RNAcentral lists this ribosomal RNA (102 nucleotides) under Hosta minor. RNAcentral's name for it is "4.5S ribosomal RNA". The record is from RNAcentral. RNAcentral also lists the same sequence under 1 other name. Lineage: Eukaryota; Viridiplantae; Streptophyta; Magnoliopsida; Asparagales; Asparagaceae.